RNAcentral lists this ribosomal RNA (499 nucleotides) under uncultured Glomeromycotina. RNAcentral describes it as "partial small subunit ribosomal RNA". It matches the Rfam family "Eukaryotic small subunit ribosomal RNA", at positions 591 to 1092 of the family's 1831-position model. The record is from RNAcentral. Lineage: Eukaryota; Fungi; Glomeromycota.
CCAGUAGCGUAUAUUAAAGUUGUCGCAGUUAAAAAGCUCGUAGUUGAAUUUCGGGAUCAAUAUAUCGGUCGUGCCUUGGUACGUACUGGUAUCAUUGGUUUCUCCUUUCUGACGAACCAUGAUGUCAUUAAUUUGGUGUUAUGGGAAGUUAGGACUGUUACUUUGAAAAAAUUAGAGUGUUUAAAGCAGGCUUUAGCUUGAAUACAUUAGCAUGGAAUAAUGAAAUAGGACGUUCGAACCUAUUUUGUUGGUUUCUAGGAUCAACGUAAUGAUUAAUAGGGAUAGUUGGGGGCAUUAGUAUUCAAUUGUCAGAGGUGAAAUUCUUGGAUUUAUUGAAGACUAACUACUGCGAAAGCAUUUGCCAAGGAUGUUUUCAUUAAUCAAGAACGAAAGUUAGGGGAUCGAAGACGAUCAGAUACCGUCGUAGUCUUAACCAUAAACUAUGCCGACUAGGGAUCGGAUGAUGUUAAUUUUUUAAUGACUCAUUCGGCGCCUUACG